UGGUUCACAAGACAUAACUCUUAUUAAAAGUUUUAUUAGCUUCCGUUGGCUAGUCUGUAAUGCCCAGUAAAUCUAUAUGCUUGCUUUUAAAUGAUUUAAAUAUUUCGUUUGAUCAAACGUUUUAUGAAAUAUGUCUAAAACAUGGCUUUUAAUAAUUUUAGAAACGUUAGAAUGUAACGUAUUCUAAUGGUUUAGAAAUUCAGUUUAAAACAGAUAACGUUAAUAUGAGGAAGAAACGUGUAAGUUACGUUUUAAAUAAAUAAUCGUUUGUUGUAAAAGUUGAAAUCAAACUGAUGCUUUUAAUAUCAUGUUUAGAUCAUGAAACUUUAGCCUUGAGUUCACAGACAGGGUCACACAUUGUGAACUCUCAUUUGGUCUGUGUAAGUUACAGACAUUUUUGUCUUUUUCAAAUGUUUUUGAUGAUGCCCACUUAAAUCACAGUUUUGUCUCUUUUCCUCAGACCCUGAUGGAUAAAAGAUGGAUAUUUUUUCCUGGAGAAGCUAAAACAAUGUCACUUUGAGGUUCUGAUACCAGCCUUUACAAAGUUAUUUACAGAACCCCAUGAUGAUAUUCCAACUCCUGUCUACAAAAGUGGGAAGAAAAUCUUAAGUCUAUGUUGGGACCAACAUGGUUGCAUUCUUCUGAGAGGCUGAGGUGACAAAACCAUUCCCAUUUGUCCUUGAAUUGGAAGAUGACGAUCUCUGCCAUAAAGUCUUCGUUGUUUUUGACAGACAGUCACUCCAGCAAUACACCCUCCUUGGUGAUGUUGACAUGUUUUAAACUUUUUUUAUGUUUUGGACAUUCAUUUUACUAAGCAGUGCACAUCAGUGUGGGUGUUUUUGAAGACUGUUGUUUACAAACUUCCAAGAACGGAAUCCCUUUCUAUAAGAAGUCUGUGUAGUUAUUUGUCAUGCUAAGGUAAUAACUCAUGUUGAUCAUAUAUUGACUGUUUGUGCAACUUUGUGUUGAUCUUUUGUGUUACAUUAACCAUUUCUUAUUACACGGUUCUCUAAAAUGCUAGUUUCUGAUUGGCCAGUCGUGACAUU
Misgurnus anguillicaudatus (oriental weatherfish) is the source of this 1046-nucleotide non-coding RNA. The record is from RefSeq and is a predicted model, not a curated record. NCBI's taxonomy places the organism in Eukaryota, Metazoa, Chordata, Actinopteri, Cypriniformes, Cobitidae.